UGGGGUGUAGCUCAGUUGAUAGAGUGCUUGCCUAGUAUGCGUGAAGCCCUGGGUUCGCUUCCCUUCACCACAU
RNAcentral lists this transfer RNA (73 nucleotides) under Neotoma lepida (desert woodrat). It matches the Rfam family "tRNA". From Rfam's summary of the family: Transfer RNA (tRNA) molecules are approximately 80 nucleotides in length. The record is from Rfam by way of RNAcentral. Lineage: Eukaryota; Metazoa; Chordata; Mammalia; Rodentia; Cricetidae.